UCGCCAUAUUAUAUAUAAUUAGAGGUGAGCCGAUGUCCAAGAAAGCCGAUUACCGAUACCGAUUGUUAACAGCCGACAUUUACCCACCAUCGGCCGAUUAAUCGGCAAAACCGAUGGUCAUCUUAAUUUUUUUUACUAAUGUAUCCUCUCGUCAAAAGACUCAAAACAUGCAGAAACAGGAAGCAACAUUUUUAACACUGAUUCUGAAAUCCACAGCGUGCCACAGAC
Non-coding RNA from Paramuricea clavata, 228 nucleotides. The record is from the annotation of a GenBank genome assembly. Lineage: Eukaryota; Metazoa; Cnidaria; Anthozoa; Malacalcyonacea; Plexauridae.